Acanthosepion pharaonis is the source of this 113-nucleotide non-coding RNA. The record is from the annotation of a GenBank genome assembly. Lineage: Eukaryota; Metazoa; Mollusca; Cephalopoda; Sepiida; Sepiidae.
UACAGCCAUAUCACAUUGAAACACCGGUUCCCAUAUGAUCACCAAAGUUAAGCAAUGUCGAGCCUGGUCAGUGCUUAGAUAGUUAAAUGCUUGCGAAUACCAGGUGCUGUAAG